GUCCACGCCGUAACGAUGUCUACUAGCUGUUCGUGUCCUUGUGAUGUGAGUAGCGCAGCUAACGCACUAAGUAGACCGCCUGGGAGUACGGUCGCAAGAUUAAACUCAAAUGAAUUGACGGGCCCGCACAAGCGGUGGAGCAUGUGGUUAAUUCGACGCAACGCGAAGAACCUUACCUACUCUUGACAUCUACGGAAGACUGCAGAGAUGCGGUUGUGCCUUCGGGAACCGUAAGACAGGUGCUGCAUGGCUGUCGU
RNAcentral lists this ribosomal RNA (257 nucleotides) under uncultured bacterium. Its description in RNAcentral is "partial 16S ribosomal RNA". It matches the Rfam family "Bacterial small subunit ribosomal RNA", at positions 793 to 1055 of the family's 1533-position model. The record is from RNAcentral.